ACUCCUACGGGAGGCAGCAGUGGGGAAUAUUGCACAAUGGGCGCAAGCCUGAUGCAGCCAUGCCGCGUGUGUGAAGAAGGCCUUCGGUUGUAAAGCACUUUCUAGCAGUGAGGAAGGACGGGUAGUGUUAAUAGCAUAUUCGUUUGUACGUUAGCUGCAGAAGAAGCACCGGCUAACUCCGUGCCAGCAGCCGCGGUAAUACGGAGGGUGCGAGCGUUAAUCGGAAUUACUGGGCGUAAAGCGCAUGCAGGUGGUUUGUUAAGUCAGAUGUGAAAGCCCGGGGCUCAACCUCGGAAUAGCAUUUGAAACUGGCAGACUAGAGUACUGUAGAGGGGGUA
This 338-nucleotide ribosomal RNA is filed under the name uncultured bacterium. Its description in RNAcentral is "bacterial SSU rRNA". It matches the Rfam family "Bacterial small subunit ribosomal RNA", at positions 335 to 662 of the family's 1533-position model. The record is from RNAcentral.